UUGACCUCAAAUCAGGUAGGACUACCCGCUGAACUUAAGCAUAUCAAUAAGCGGAGGAAAAGAAACUAACAAGGAUUCCCCUAGUAACUGCGAGUGAACCGGGAAAAGCUCAAAUUUUGAAUCUGGCGGUCUUUCGGCCGUCCGAGUG
RNAcentral lists this ribosomal RNA (148 nucleotides) under Suillus collinitus. Its description in RNAcentral is "partial 28S ribosomal RNA". It matches the Rfam family "Eukaryotic large subunit ribosomal RNA", at positions 1 to 145 of the family's 3401-position model. Lineage: Eukaryota; Fungi; Basidiomycota; Agaricomycetes; Boletales; Suillaceae. The record is from RNAcentral.